AGUGGGAUAACUGGGUCAAAUGGUGGUUCUAUUCUGAGUUUUCUGAGGAAUCACCAUACUGCUUUCCAGAGUGGCUGUGCUAAUUUGCAGUCCCACCAGCAAU
RNAcentral lists this microRNA precursor (103 nucleotides) under Marmota monax (woodchuck). The record is from RNAcentral. Lineage: Eukaryota; Metazoa; Chordata; Mammalia; Rodentia; Sciuridae.